GCAGUGAGGAAUAAUUGGUCAAAUGGGCGUAGGCCUGAACCAGCCAAGUAGCGUGCAGGAAGAGUGCCGUAUAGGUAGUAAACUGCUUUUAUGCGGGAAUUAAGUCAGGUACGUGUACCUGUUUGCAUGUACCGCAUGAAUAAGGACCGGCUAAUUCCGUGCCAGCAGCCGCGGUAAUACGGAAGGUCCGGGCGUUAUCCGGAUUUAUUGGGUUUAAAGGGAGCGCAGGCGGAGGAUUAAGCGUGACGUGAAAUGUCCCGGCUCAACCGUGGAACUGCGUCGCGAACUGGUUUUCUUGAGUGAGUGCGACGUCGGCGGAAUUCGUGGUGUAGCGGUGAAAUGCUUAGAUAUCACGAAGAACCCCGAUUGCGAAGGCAGCCGACGAGUCCUUAACUGACGCUAAAGCUCGAAAGUGCGGGUAUCGAACAGGAUUAGAUACCCUGGUAGUCCGCACGGUAAACGAUGGAUGCCCGCUGUCUGCGAUACACUGUAGGCGGCCAAGAGAAAUCGUUAAGCAUCCCACCUGGGGAGUACGCCGGCAACGGUGAAACUCAAAGGAAUUGACGGGGGCCCGCACAAGCGGAGGAACAUGUGGUUUAAUUCGAUGAUACGCGAGGAACCUUACCCGGGCUUGAACUGCAGGCGUACGAUACAGAGAUGUUGAGGCCCUUCGGGGUGCCUGUGGAGGUGCUGCAUGGUUGUCGUCAGCUCGUGCCGUGAGGUGUCGGCUUAAGUGCCAUAACGAGCGCAACCCCUUUCUCCAGUUGCCAUCAGGUGAUGCUGGGCACUCUGGAGACACUGCCACCGUAAGGUGUGAGGAAGGUGGGGAUGACGUCAAAUCAGCACGGCCCUUACGUCCGGGGCUACACACGUGUUACAAUGGGUGGUACAGAGAGUCGGUGCAUCGCAAGUUGCAUCUAAUCAUGAAAGCCAUCCUCAGUUCGGAUUGGGGUCUGCAACCCGACCCCAUGAAGCCGGAUUCGCUAGUAAUCGCGCAUCAGCCAUGGCGCGGUGAAUACGUUCCCGGGCCUUGUACUCACCGCCCGUCAAG
Molecule: ribosomal RNA, 1051 nt
Filed under: uncultured bacterium
Lineage: Bacteria
Description: bacterial SSU rRNA
Rfam family: Bacterial small subunit ribosomal RNA
Source: RNAcentral